This 63-nucleotide transfer RNA is filed under the name Pterobdella arugamensis. Its description in RNAcentral is "tRNA-Ile". The record is from RNAcentral. Lineage: Eukaryota; Metazoa; Annelida; Clitellata; Hirudinida; Piscicolidae.
GGUACUAAGCCGGAUUAACGGAUAACACUGAUGAAGUUAAAUAUGAAUUAUUUUCUAGUACCU